This 468-nucleotide ribosomal RNA is filed under the name uncultured bacterium. Its description in RNAcentral is "partial 16S ribosomal RNA". It matches the Rfam family "Bacterial small subunit ribosomal RNA", at positions 28 to 507 of the family's 1533-position model. The record is from RNAcentral.
GACGAACGCUGGCGGCGUGCUUAACACAUGCAAGUCGAACGGAAAGGCCCUGCUUUUGUGGGGUGCUCGAGUGGCGAACGGGUGAGUAACACGUGAGUAACCUGCCCUUGACUUUGGGAUAACUUCAGGAAACUGGGGCUAAUACCGGAUAGGAGCUCCUGCUGCAUGGUGGGGGUUGGAAAGUUUCGGCGGUUGGGGAUGGACUCGCGGCUUAUCAGCUUGUUGGUGGGGUAGUGGCUUACCAAGGCUUUGACGGGUAGCCGGCCUGAGAGGGUGACCGGCCACAUUGGGACUGAGAGACGGCGCAGACUCCUACGGGAGGCAGCAGUGGGGAAUAUUGCACAAUGGGCGGAAGCCUGAUGCAGCAACGCCGCGUGCGGGAUGACGGCCUUCGGGGUGUAAACCGCUUUCGCCUGUGACGAAGCGUGAGUGACGGUAAUGGGAGAAGAAGCACCGGCUAACUACGUG